CCCUCGCCUCCUCGACCUCCUUCUCUGGUCUGCGGAAUGGAGGCAACAAGCCGGGCCGGCCCACCGCACGGGACUGCUGAGGAAGGAGAAAAUGAUUGUGUGAAUCUGUAGAAACCGGAAGGAUAAGACACAAGUCUGAAAAUUAUUCAAUUAAAGGAAGGAAGAUUGCAGACUGCUUAGUCACCUGAAGAGAGAGAGUGGAGCUUACAAAAUGAGAUGAUUACAUCACUUAAAUUGACUCUGAAAGAAACUCCAGCAGAGAAGUUCCAGAAAAGCAUUGAGCAAAACAGCAUUUUUGGAAUGAGUUUUGGAUAAGUUUUUGUAUGUUUAAACCAGCUUUGUUGCUUUGUAAUCACACCUCAUUUCCGUGGAAAGUAUGAUGCAAAAC
This is a long non-coding RNA of Galeopterus variegatus (Sunda flying lemur), 388 nucleotides long. RefSeq lists it as uncharacterized. Lineage: Eukaryota; Metazoa; Chordata; Mammalia; Dermoptera; Cynocephalidae. The record is from RefSeq and is a predicted model, not a curated record. The transcript is spliced from 3 exons.